Molecule: ribosomal RNA, 427 nt
Filed under: uncultured Tolumonas sp.
Lineage: Bacteria; Pseudomonadati; Pseudomonadota; Gammaproteobacteria; Aeromonadales; Aeromonadaceae
Description: bacterial SSU rRNA
Rfam family: Bacterial small subunit ribosomal RNA
Source: RNAcentral
GGGGAAUAUUGCACAAUGGGGGAAACCCUGAUGCAGCCAUGCCGCGUGUGUGAAGAAGGCCUUCGGGUUGUAAAGCACUUUCAGUAGGGAGGAAGGGUUGAUGUCUAAUACGCAUCAACAUUGACGUUACCUACAGAAGAAGCACCGGCUAACUCCGUGCCAGCAGCCGCGGUAAUACGGAGGGUGCAAGCGUUAAUCGGAAUAACUGGGCGUAAAGCGCACGCAGGCGGUUAGAUAAGUCAGACGUGAAAUCCCCGGGCUCAACCUGGGAACUGCAUUUGAAACUGUCUGACUAGAGUCUUGUAGAGGGGGGUAGAAUUCCAGGUGUAGCGGUGAAAUGCGUAGAGAUCUGGAGGAAUACCGGUGGCGAAGGCGGCCCCCUGGACAAAGACUGACGCUCAGGUGCGAAAGCGUGGGGAGCAAACAG